This 1042-nucleotide long non-coding RNA is filed under the name Homo sapiens (human). RNAcentral's name for it is "HSALNT0372775". Lineage: Eukaryota; Metazoa; Chordata; Mammalia; Primates; Hominidae. The record is from RNAcentral.
GUCUCUCUAUAUUGCCCAGGCUGGUCUCAAACUCCUGGCCUCAAGUGAUCCUCCUACCUCGGCUUCAUAAAGAAAUGGGAUUAUAGGGUGAGACCCUGUGCCUGGCCAUUAUGUAUUCUUAUGUGAAAUAAGUACUUCGUAAGAUAAUACAUAUAUCAUCAUGUAAUAAUAAUAACCAAUAUUUAUUGAGUACUUUCAGUGUACCUGAACUGUUCUAAGCACUUUAUAUAUAUUUCUGUCUUUAUCUAUCUACUAACUCAAUCUUCCUAACAACCUUUGAGGUACAAACUAUUAUCAUCCUCAUUUUACAGAUGAGAAAACUGAGAUCCAGAAAUUCAAGAUCAAUAACCAAUAAUUGAAAAGGAAGUUCAACUCUACCAACUGUCUAUAGCAUUUCACAGUGUUGUGGAUGAUUAUGCUGUCUAGGGAACUGAGUAGUUACUGCACUUUCAAAAACAUCAUCUCACAGUCCUGAGGUCCUGCAAAGUUUGUGUCUUUCCAUUCUUACAUAUAACUUACUUAACAGUUACUGCUAUCAAGAAAGUCUUGCCUUCUCACACUUCUUCCAUUAUUUUUAUGCCCUAUUUCAGUGAUCUAUCCACACAUCCAUCUUCAAGCUUCCCAAAGGCAGGAAUCACCUAUUGUUCGUCUGUAAACUCCAAUGAGAAACAUACAGUCUGGUGUAUGGGAGGUCAUCAAAACAAGUGUGGAGGUAUAAGCUAAGACUGACAACUGCCUCCCAAGUUUCUAUUCAAAAGUAAUCAUUUUGGAUGUAAAUCUCAUCAGGAAUGUGUUUAAACUCAGGAACUGCUGAAUUGUACUGUAACUUGGCUCAUCCCAAAUAGUGCAGUUGUCUUCACAAUGGAGAGACUGUCACAGCCUAAAAAGACACGUGACUCUGAGCAUCAGUUUACUGGCUGCCCACUCAAUGAUUCAGACUCCUCCAUUCUUUGUGUGGAAGAGAACUGGCCUUCCGGGAGCCUGAGGCCAAGUGAGAGAACCUUCUGAAAGCCGUCACUGCAUGGGGAGCCUGGACUUACCC